This 8214-nucleotide long non-coding RNA is filed under the name Homo sapiens (human). Its description in RNAcentral is "HSALNT0098251". The record is from RNAcentral. Lineage: Eukaryota; Metazoa; Chordata; Mammalia; Primates; Hominidae.
AGAUCUUCCGGGGGUGGAAUCUGGAAAUCUCCAUUUUUAGCAAGCUCCCUGGAGGAUGACCUUAGCCACAUGAAAGCUCUUGCAGCCGUGGUGGAAAGGAUCAUCCACGGUGACUUGCAGCUGUGAGUCCAUGAGUCUAGUACACUCUCUCAGGCCUUGAGCGGGGAAGGAAUCAGGGCUUACUGAGCCACCCCCAUCUUCCAGGCACUGUGCUAAGUCCUUUCCAUACCUCAUUUCAUUUCAUCCUCGCAAUAAACCAGGUACUGUUAUUACCACCGUGAAACAGGUGGGGAAACUGAAGCAUGAGGAGCUUGAGUAAUGUGUGUUAGAUCACGCAACCAGUAGUGGCAGAGCUGGAAUUCCGACCUGGGACUGCCUCCAAAGUUCUUGCGUAAGAAUACAGCUGCUACACUUGCCCUUCUUCAGCUGAGACCAAGGAGGGAAUUCUGAUUGAAAGCAAACCAGGGAGGAAAGAUGCACUAGCACUGACCUGUAACAGGUCAAUCUGUGCCAUGGCAUGGCGAGACGAAGUGGAGAACCCAUGUCUCAUUGGAAUCCCGGAUCAUCGUCUCCACGAAGGCUGUCUUCUGCAGCACUCCAGGGACUCACGGCUCUGGGCUUAUUGCUCAGUGUCAUGUGACAGAUGUUUUAGUGUUUAGUUGGAACCCUGGAUCUGCAGCAACCAUCUUGCUACCAACUUGAGGGUGAAGCCAGCCGUAAGAAUAGCAGGCCGGAAAGAUGGAAGAAACCUGGCUUUCCAAUGUCAUCAUUUGGUUGCUGAAUCAAUUGUACCUAAAGCUCACUCUAUCUGUUUUACCUUGAGUUAGGGUUGCCGUUGCUUGCAGCUAAACGCAUCUUCUUUUUUUUUUUUUUUUUUUUUUUUUUUGAGAAGGAGUCUUACUCUAUCACCCAGGUUGGAGUGCAGUGGCGCGAUCUCAACUCACUGCAACCUCCACCUCCCAGGUUCAAGUGAUUCUUGUGCCUCAGCCUCCCACGUAGCUAGGAUUACAGGCGUGAGCCACCACGCCCGGCUUAUUUUUGUAUUUUUGGUAGAGAAGGGGUUUCGCCAUGUUGCCCAGGCUGGUCUUUAACUUCUGGACCUUAGGUGAUCCACCCGCCUCAGCCUCCCAAAGUGCUGGAAUUACUGGCAAGAUCCACCACACCCAGUCUAAAUGCAUCUGAAUAUAACAUGACUCUCCUAGAGAAAAACCUGGAACCCAGAGCACCUGAAUAGAAACUCUUAAUUAUAUCAAUGAGGAAUAGUUAACUUAGCCAAGUUUCCAUUGAAUAUGAAGAACUGUAAAAUAAUGUCAGUUCUAGCCAAGAACUGAAAAGUAAUGUCAGUACUCUAUAAUGUGUAAUUCAUAGUUGCUACAUGUAAUCAGGCUUGGCCAAUUGUUUCCAGGAAGAUGGCACCCUCAUUUCUGAAUGAGGAUGACCAUUUUCCACUAAUCCAGAGGUAAAACAGUCAUUGUAACUGCACUGAAAUUUGCUGUAUCAAGUGAGACAUGAAGGUAAAUGUCAUUGGCCCAGAGUAAUUAGUCUUUUCCAGUGCUUAAAGGAAGGGAGAGAAACUAAUGCCUAUUGAGUGCCUUCAAAGCUUCUGCAAUGUGCUGGUACCCACAUGUUUCCAAUUAUUCCUCACAACACUAUGGAGAGGUUAUUUUGCCUGUUUUGCUGAUCAGGGAACUGAGACUCACAGAGUGACACCAACCCAUCAGUAUUUCAGGUUUCUGGGGAGGGUCCAGAGAGCAAGGGGGAAGCUGCUAAUUGCUUGUUGGUUCAAGAGAAAUGUUAUCUCAGUAGACUAACGUAUGGACUUUCUGAUGUCAGAAAAUGCAAACUAUGUAGUGUAACCUGUUUGCCAUUUUUUCUUUGUAUCCGCAAACUGACAGCAAAAUAUAUUGCACAAGUAUUAUAAAUCUGUUCAGUUCAAGUGCCAGAGAACAUUUACUCUGCUUCCUUCAUGAGCACCCCCUCUCUCAGCACCAGGGAGCUCCUCCAGGAGCACUUCCUCCCAUGUCUGUGUUCGCCGUUAAGACUGGACACACCAGGAUGAUCUUUCAACUUUGGGUCCAAAGGCCCUCAGUGGAUGUAAAAUAGGUACAUGAGGCCUUGAACUGAACAUUUUUUUCACUUCACCAUAACCUGGAUUUUCCCAGUUUAGGAGCAUCUGUUUGUCUUGAUAACGUUUGGAACAAAGUGAAAAAAACUGGACUUUGAAGAGAACUUCAGGUGAAUUACACAUUUAAGUCAGAUUUUCCAUGUCUUUGUCCCAUGUUCAGUAAUUCAAGCUGUUAGGAGCCCUCAACUUUGUACAUAUAUUUCCUUCCUAUCUCUGCCUCUUCAUACCUGGUACUUACCGUGGAAUUUGAAAUCUUUCUGUGGCUGUAAGCAAGAAAGGCGGGAAAAAUACAAGAAGUUAAAGGGGAUUGGAUGGUUCAGAUUUGGUUGAUGAAUGAGAUGGUUUAGAGGCAUGUCUUGUAAGAGAUAAUUUUCUAUGUGCCAGGUACUAUUUAUGAAUCCCACAUUAUCUUAUUAAUGCUCACAACAAGCCUUGGGGGUAAAUAGAUUAUCAUCGCCAUUUCACAGAUUAGGAAAGUGAGGUUUCAGCAGUCAAUUGCUCAAAGGUCUCCUGCUAGUGAAACAGUCGUCUAUCCAAACAGUCUGAAUGACCUGUGCACAUGGGAACGUGCCACGCAAGCCAAGGGCAGGAAGGAUGAGAAGAGGUGGGCAGAAAGCCAGCUGGGAUGAAUGAAGGACCUACUACGUGCAGGCCCAGGGUCAGACAUUUUAUUUUCUUGAUUGCACUUCAGCCUCCCAGCAGCCCUGUUUUACAGAUGAAGAAACUGAGGCUCAAAGAGCUGGAGAAAGUUGUUGCCCAGGGUCCUGUGGAGAGAAAACUCAAGCUCCGGCUGUUCCACUACUCUGGGACACCACCCCCAGUGGGAACCCCACUUUUACAAGGAUUCGAAGGUAGGUGAGGACUUAUCUCCUGAAAUAAUUAGUAUACUUACUUUUUUGUUACAUAUUCCCACUAAAGGUUUGCAGCCCCACCCAGCUUGAAUAUCAGGAGAAUGGCAACAAAAUCUGGUUCAAGGCUCACAGAAUCCACGAAAGAUGCCAGCCCCUCCACGGUUGGAGAGUGAUUCACAAAUGUGUCUUUAAGGACUUUCCCAGGCCGGGCACAGUGGCUCACACCUGUAAUCCCAGCAAGCCGAGGCGGGAGGAUCACCUGAGGUCAGGAGUUUGAGACCAGCCUGGCCAACAUGAUGAAACUCCGUCUCUACUAAGAAUACAAAAAUUAGGCAGGCGUGGUGGCAUGCACCUGUAAUUCCAACCACUUGGGAGGCUGAGGCAGGAGAACUGCUUGAACCGGGGAGGCAGAGGUUGCAGUGAGCCAAAAUCACACCGCUGCACUCCAGCCUGGGCAACAGAGUGAGACUGUGUCUCAACAACAACAACAACAACAACAAACAGAAAAAAAAGAAAAAAAAAGGACUUCCCCAUCUCAGAGCAGAAGACAAACCCAGGUGACUCUGAGUCUGCACAGAAAAGGCAAGGGUGACCAAGAGUGAGGAGGUUAAGCACCUGUUGCUUUCAGCUCAGGUCCUGACCACAGCCCUUAAUAAGGACAAACCUCUCAGAUUGCUGCAGCCUUCAAUACGCAUGUUCCUAUAGUGCCUGGCCAAUAAGAAGUACUUACACAGUAGCUGUUAUUAUUGUAAAGGCGGCGCAAAGAGUUAAGGAAGGCCGGUAGCUAAGCUGAAUCUGAGUUGCAUCUUGUAGGCCAUGGUAUGUGAAAGAAGGGCAGGCCAGGAGGGGGAACAGAGUGAGUAAAGCCCAGAGGCAGGGGCAUGGAAAAGCAGGGAGGAGUUAAGCUUGGGGCAAAUAUCCUAAAUGAAGGGGAAUAAAAGGCAACAAAGUUUGCAAGUUGCACCGGGGCCACAUCUUGGAGUUGUUUGAGAACAUGUCCCAUGAGGCUGCAUUUAACACCAGCCACUCGCGCUUCCACCCCAACAGCAGGAGUAUCACAUCCACAUGCCAUGUGCGCAAUUCCUUACUUUAUAUCCUCCUCUAAGAUAAAUCUACCCUCCCUCUUUUUUAAGCAUAAGAGCAUUUAUUCUAAAAGGAAACUUUUGGCCAGGCAUGGUGGCUCACGCCUGUAAUCCCAGCACUUUGGGAGGCCUAGGCUGGUGGAUCAUGAGGUCAGGAGUUCGAGACCAGCCUGACCAACAUGGCAAAACCCCGUCUCUACUAAAAAUACAAAAAUUAGCCGGGUGUGGUGGCACGUGCCUGUAGUCCCACCUACUCGGGAGGCUGAGGCAGAAGAAUUGCUUGAACCCGGGAGGCAGAGGUUGCAGUGAGCUGAGAUCACACCACUGCAGUCCAGCCUGGGCAACAAAGCAAGACUCUGUCUCAAAAAAUAAAUAAAUAAAUAAAUAAAAGGAAACUUUUGCUCACUAAUGGAAAUGGAAGUGGCACCUGUCAUAGGCAGAGACAAAUUGUCAAAGUAAACAACUUUUAAGUCUCACUAGACACUCCUGCCCCAGCAGAAUCUGGUCAAAAGCUAGGUCAGCAAAUUUCAGAGGCAGUAUUAAGGACAAAGUAGCAACAAUCCAAACUUUCUUUUUAGGUACUCAGAAAGACUAACAGAACAUUGAGAAGGGGUGUUAGUCACAUCCCCAAACUGCAAGAGGCCAGAAGAUAGCGAGGGGUCUUUCAAACAAUCUAAAAUCUGAGACCCCAAUGUUGGAAAAGAGAAGGAAGGGAAUGGGUUAAAGUGCCAGUUGCUCCCUCCUCAGAUAGCAGGGCCCUGGACAUCCCUAAGAUGUCCCCUUCCUCUUUCAUCCUUCCCUGAUUCCAGCCUCCCCACCUUCCCCAGGCUGGCUUGCCUGAUUUUGUGAGCUCUUCAGCCGGCUUAAAGUGUAAUUCUGUAUUUCUGAUUCUAUCUGUGUUCCAGGAGGCAUUAUCUCUAUCUCUGUAAUAGCUUCUCAAGCAAAAACAUUUUACUGGGUAAAAGAGCAAGGAAUAGGCAUGACCUGAUGCUGAUUUAAAGCAAGAUUCCAGGCAAGCCCCAGAGCCCUCUCUAAGUAGCCUCUCUCCUUUCUGCUGUCUAACGAAACAGCUCCUAAUGGCCAUGGUAUCAUAUUGUAUCUCAUAUUUACACAGCACUCGGCACACAUUCACUUAUUCAGCGGACAUCCAUUGAGGGCCUAUUAUGUGCCAAGUCUUCUGGGUGCUGGCAAUCAACAGUGAACAAAGACCCGUGAGGUUCUUGCUCUACUUGGGAAAACAGGCAAUAAACUCUGAAACAAGUAAAUAAACACGAUCAUGAUGAGGCUACUGAAAAAGCAAUGUGGUAGCAGCGUGACGAUGAUGUGCCAUGGGAGACAGGUGGCAACAUCAAAAAAGGUAGACUGCCCCCGCCCUCCGAAGAGGUGGCAUGUGAGCAAGAAGGAGCCAGCCAAUGGAAAGCUCUGAAAGCAGAGUCUUUUAAAAACAAAACAAAAUCAAAAAACAAAAACAGGGCUCAAAGAAGAUGUCUGCACUUCUGCCAGACGGGGCAGAAAGAAGAUAAUGGUGCUCCAAUCAGGGAGACUGUGGAGGCAGUACAGGUGACAGGAGGCAGGGAAACGAGAAUUAGCCAGAAACACAGUAGGUUUGCCAUGUCAGUCAGACACUCGAGUGUGUUCUUGCUCUUCUCAACAAACCAUAAAGUAAGGACGAUCAGUGUUUCCCAUUUUACAGACAGGAAAACUGAAGCUCGGGAAGGCUACCCAGGUACAUAGGGGCAGUGGUGGGAUGUGAAUCUAUGGUUUAGGAUGCUGACGCCAGCACUAUCCCACCUGCCUCAUGGUAGAGCAGUGUCCAGACACAGAGGUGGCAAUGCAGCAGCUCAAGUGGCAGCUCCAGCACUGCAUGUGUUUUGUCCGUUCUACAUGGGUUUGGAAAAACUCACCUGAGCUAGCGAUCAACUCUUAAAUAUAACCCUUCACUCAAAAAUCUGGCUGUCUAUCUGAAAAUAUUUGAAGACCUGGUCAUAGUGGGACCAUGAUUUGAAUGACAACAAUGGGCUGGAGCAGUAUCUCUGCCCACCUUGAGAGAGGGAUGGGCACUCUGUUUUUCCACAGCCCCCACCUCUCCCGAUUGCUUGCCCCGGCCCCUUCACUCCUCUCCAUUGCAUUCAUGGCCUCCCUAUGCAUUCGGCUUUGAGGCCCCAGCUCUCUAGUGAUGAAAUAUGUGGGAAGAUCCACAAAGCCCAGCAAACGAGGAGUGACCAGAGGAAUUGAGUUACAGUUCCUCCCUAGAACACUUUCCUGCCUUUCUGAUGUAAUCACUUUGCGCAAACAGUAGGAAAUGUUCAGAAGAGCUGCUACAAGGCGGUGAUUAAGAGGUCAGGCCUGGUUCUUAAUUCUAGCUUCAGCAAGUCCUAUCUGUGGGACUUGGGCAAGUUCUAAAAACCUCAGUUUCUUUAUCUGUAAAGCGCAAAUAAUAAUAAUGCCUACUUUAUAAGUAGGAUUAGGGGAAACAGUAAUUUAGGAAACGUGCUCGGAAUGAUGCUAGUUUCGUGGUGAGUAUCCAAUAGAUGGAGCCGUAGUUGUCUUUCUCAUCUUAGAAAGCAGCUGAUUCUCCCAUGUCAUGACAGUGUUUGUGCAACUCCUCUGGAAUUCUCUCCUUUCUUCCUUAGGAGAGCAUUUUCUCAAUGUUCCUCUUUAUCUUUCUCCAAACACAAAGACAAAUCUAAGAGGAAAAAAAAAAUCUUCAAACUGGGUCGCAGAUACUCAGCUUCUUGUCAAUUCUCAUUAGGGUUUAAAAGCUCAGUCUCCUGCAUAUGCCCAAAGAUAAAGCAAUCCCUUCCAUUCCUAAUUCAAAGAACCAAAAAAAAAAAAAAAACAUGUGGUUGGACCUGGUUGAAUAUAUAAACUUUUGGGGAUGGCAAUAAACUAGGCAAAGUCCUGGUUAUUCAAUUUAUUAGCUCAGUUGUGCAACGUAGAAAUAAACAGAAAAUUACUUAUAAUUUUACAAUAAUAUUCAUUUAGAAACAUCACUUUUCUCCAUAUACGUGUUGCAUGAAACAGCUUUACUCCAUUCUUUGCCACACAUAAGGAGGCCGAGGAGGGAAGAUGGCAUGAGGCCAGGAAUUCAAGGCUGCAGUGAGAUAUGAUUGCACCACUACACUUCAGCCUGGGCGACAGGGUGACACCUCAUCUCUAAAAAAUAAAAUAAAAUAAUAAAAAAAUUUUGGAAAUUUUUAAAGCGUCUGCUCCACAGAGCCACAUUUUGCAUUGUGCAGUUUCGUUUUUCAGACCUUUCUCCUCUCUUCCAUCUGACUGCCCUGAGAUCCAGCACUUUUUGCUUCCACAUCUGAGGCUGUCGCUGGAAACAAGGUCUCCAUCCCAUUUGCAUGACAUGAGCACAGUCGGGAUUUGUAUUCAUUCUGUGGGUGUGUGUAUAUUCGUGCUCUCCACAAAAGAACCACUCAGCAUUGCUUUUUCAAGCCGAGCUUUAAAAGGCUUAUUUGCCAUGACAUCCAGCACUUGUAAUUUGAGGUCAUACCCCGAGGAAGAAUUGCUAAAUCUGUGUAAAAUGUUUCUGACUCCUUUUCUUACAGAUUCUGUCAGAUUAUCUCUUUAAGAAUUCUAAGCCCAUGUUGUUUGAGGUGGUUUUAGGCUAAUGUACAUUCCCCAAACAUUUCUUUGCUGUUCAAAAUAAAGCAAUUGAGAGGGUUCUUCGUAAAAACGAAGCACUUUGCAAGAGCUCAAGACAAAAGACAACUCCCUUUUUUCUAGGGGGUAAUUUUGAGGAUAGAAGAAAAACAGUGUUCUAUGUAAGCCUGUACAAUCACGAGAGCCAUUUGCUGAGGGCCAUGUGUGCGAGUGGUUCGUGUGCUCUCCACCUCCUCUUCUUCCUCCCAGGGGAUGAAAUGAGGCCCAACAAGUGCAAGACAUGGACCAUGUCAGCUCGUGACAGAACAGGGCUGGAACCCAAGUCUGCUAGGCUCAGCCCACUCCCUCCCUGUGCCGAGUUGACAUAUUCUACUUACAUUAAGCCAAGUGCUGGGCUCUGAUUAUACAAAAUCAGAUAAGCCAGGACCCUGUGUUCAAGGAGCUCCCAGGCCUGCUGGGGUGAGAGUGGAGCAGCAAGGAUGGAAGUGCACAGAUGCAAGGGUGGCCAGGCCUAUGGGGAUACAGGCAAGGGAGGCUGAGUGUU